RNAcentral lists this unclassified non-coding RNA (279 nucleotides) under Lepiota cortinarius. RNAcentral's name for it is "partial internal transcribed spacer region". The stretch from base 1 to 46 matches the Rfam family "Eukaryotic small subunit ribosomal RNA", at positions 1786 to 1831 of the family's 1831-position model. Lineage: Eukaryota; Fungi; Basidiomycota; Agaricomycetes; Agaricales; Agaricaceae. The record is from RNAcentral.
AAGUCGUAACAAGGUUUCCGUAGGUGAACCUGCGGAAGGAUCAUUAAUGAAUAACUAUGGUGGGUUGUCGCUGGCUUUUCAAAGCAUGUGCACACCUGCUGUCUUUAUCUAUCCCACUGUGCACACUUUGUAGUCUUGGGGGGAAAUGUGAGUUUCACACCUUCUCUCCUCCAGGUCUAUGUCUUUUCCACACACGUAGUAUGUCAUAGAAUGUAAUCAUAGAGCCUUUGUGCCUAUAAAACUUUUAUACAACUUUCAGCAACGGAUCUCUUGGCUCUC